GCCGAGCUGGGUAACACCAGCUUGUGACCCAGGUGGGGGCACCAAGGUGAUUGAACAAGGCUUUAGCACCAUGUUGGCCUGGAGGUUGCAUCUGCUGGCUUGCCCACUCCAAGUUGAGAGUUGAGCCAAGGGAACAUUGCGAAGGCAUUGGUCUCCUGGUUCCUAGACGAGAGGGCAAUGCGUGAGGCUGGCUUCACAGAGCAGCGACUACCUCUGGCUCUUGACAGUGGAGGGAUCACAGGCUGCUGCAUCUCCAGGCACCUAAGCUUGGUGAGCUAUCCCUUGAACAAUCACUUUU
RNAcentral lists this signal recognition particle RNA (298 nucleotides) under Phaseolus vulgaris (common bean). RNAcentral's name for it is "SRP RNA Plant_SRP". It matches the Rfam family "Plant signal recognition particle RNA". Lineage: Eukaryota; Viridiplantae; Streptophyta; Magnoliopsida; Fabales; Fabaceae. The record is from Rfam by way of RNAcentral.